Rhodamnia argentea is the source of this 428-nucleotide long non-coding RNA. RefSeq lists it as uncharacterized. NCBI's taxonomy places the organism in Eukaryota, Viridiplantae, Streptophyta, Magnoliopsida, Myrtales, Myrtaceae. The record is from RefSeq and is a predicted model, not a curated record. The transcript is spliced from 3 exons.
CACAGAGAAAGAUGAAGAUAUACAAUACGAGAUUAAAUGCUUUCGCGGUCCCUGAUUAUGGAACUUCCAGUAGACGAUAAAAUCAUAACCAAUUGAGUCCAUCAUGAAUACGACAUAUUCCCACUACCUUCUGUAGUCAUAUUAUUAGCUCAAACUCUGAUCAGUGCUCUGCGUUUUUCAAAAGGUUUCUAUACUUCCGGCACUAAUCUCACAUUCUCAAUAUAUUCGGGUGUCUAGUUGGGCUUUCCACUACCAGAAAUAACUGUCAACGUACUCAGACUAUUUAUUCCUGGAGAGAGAGAGAGAGAGAGAGAGGUAGGUGGAGUGAUCUGAAGAGGUGCUGUUGGGGUCCUGAGAGACCCUUCAUUGUAUCCCUACAAUGUAGCAUGAAAAUCAGCAUUUGCUGUUAAGAUGAGAACCUUCUCUCU